This 329-nucleotide unclassified non-coding RNA is filed under the name soil metagenome. RNAcentral's name for it is "partial contains 5.8S ribosomal RNA, internal transcribed spacer 2, and large subunit ribosomal RNA". The stretch from base 1 to 120 matches the Rfam family "5.8S ribosomal RNA", at positions 35 to 154 of the family's 154-position model. The record is from RNAcentral.
GAUGAAGAACGCAGCGAAAUGCGAUAAGUAAUGUGAAUUGCAGAAUUCAGUGAAUCAUCGAAUCUUUGAACGCACAUUGCGCCCCCUGGUAUUCCGGGGGGCAUGCCUGUCCGAGCGUCAUUACAACCCUCAAGCUCAGCUUGGUGUUGGGCCCCGCCGCCCCGGCGGGCCCUAAAGUCAGUGGCGGUGCCGUCCGGCUCCGAGCGUAGUAAUUCUUCUCGCUCUGGAGGUCCGGUCGUGUGCUUGCCAGCAACCCCCAAUUUUUUUCAGGUUGACCUCGGAUCAGGUAGGGAUACCCGCUGAACUUAAGCAUAUCAAUAAGCGGAGGA